RNAcentral lists this ribosomal RNA (2822 nucleotides) under Salmonella enterica subsp. enterica serovar Enteritidis. RNAcentral describes it as "bacterial LSU rRNA". It matches the Rfam family "Bacterial large subunit ribosomal RNA". Lineage: Bacteria; Pseudomonadati; Pseudomonadota; Gammaproteobacteria; Enterobacterales; Enterobacteriaceae. The record is from RNAcentral.
GGGUUGUGAGGUUAAGCGACUAAGCGUACACGGUGGAUGCCCUGGCAGUCAGAGGCGAUGAAGGGCGUGCUAAUCUGCGAUAAGCGCCGGUAAGGUGAUAUGAACCGUUAUAACCGGCGAUACCCGAAUGGGGAAACCCAGUGUGAUUCGUCACACUAUCAUUAACUGAAUCCAUAGGUUAAUGAGGCGAACCGGGGGAACUGAAACAUCUAAGUACCCCGAGGAAAAGAAAUCAACCGAGAUUCCCCCAGUAGCGGCGAGCGAACGGGGAGGAGCCCAGAGCCUGAAUCAGCAUGUGUGUUAGUGGAAGCGUCUGGAAAGGCGCGCGAUACAGGGUGACAGCCCCGUACACAAAAGCGCAUGUGCUGUGAGCUCGAUGAGUAGGGCGGGACACGUGGUAUCCUGUCUGAAUAUGGGGGGACCAUCCUCCAAGGCUAAAUACUCCUGACUGACCGAUAGUGAACCAGUACCGUGAGGGAAAGGCGAAAAGAACCCCGGCGAGGGGAGUGAAAAAGAACCUGAAACCGUGUACGUACAAGCAGUGGGAGCNNGGGCGUUAAGUUGCAGGGUAUAGACCCGAAACCCGGUGAUCUAGCCAUGGGCAGGUUGAAGGUUGGGUAACACUAACUGGAGGACCGAACCGACUAAUGUUGAAAAAUUAGCGGAUGACCUGUGGCUGGGGGUGAAAGGCCAAUCAAACCGGGAGAUAGCUGGUUCUCCCCGAAAGCUAUUUAGGUAGCGCCUCGUGAAUUCAUCUCCGGGGGUAGAGCACUGUUUCGGCUAGGGGGCCAUCCCGGCUUACCAACCCGAUGCAAACUGCGAAUACCGGAGAAUGUUAUCACGGGAGACACACGGCGGGUGCUAACGUCCGUCGUGAAGAGGGAAACAACCCAGACCGCCAGCUAAGGUCCCAAAGUCAUGGUUAAGUGGGAAACGAUGUGGGAAGGCCCAGACAGCCAGGAUGUUGGCUUAGAAGCAGCCAUCAUUUAAAGAAAGCGUAAUAGCUCACUGGUCGAGUCGGCCUGCGCGGAAGAUGUAACGGGGCUAAACCAUGCACCGAAGCUGCGGCAGCGACACUGUGUGUUGUUGGGUAGGGGAGCGUUCUGUAAGCCUGCGAAGGUGGCCUGUGAGGGUUGCUGGAGGUAUCAGAAGUGCGAAUGCUGACAUAAGUAACGAUAAAGCGGGUGAAAAGCCCGCUCGCCGGAAGACCAAGGGUUCCUGUCCAACGUUAAUCGGGGCAGGGUGAGUCGACCCCUAAGGCGAGGCCGAAAGGCGUAGUCGAUGGGAAACGGGUUAAUAUUCCCGUACUUGGUGUUACUGCGAAGGGGGGACGGAGAAGGCUAUGUUGGCCGGGCGACGGUUGUCCCGGUUUAAGCGUGUAGGUGUGUGUUCCAGGUAAAUCCGGUUCACUUUAACACUGAGGCGUGACGACGAGGCACUACGGUGCUGAAGCAACAAAUGCCCUGCUUCCAGGAAAAGCCUCUAAGCAUCAGGUAACAUCAAAUCGUACCCCAAACCGACACAGGUGGUCAGGUAGAGAAUACCAAGGCGCUUGAGAGAACUCGGGUGAAGGAACUAGGCAAAAUGGUGCCGUAACUUCGGGAGAAGGCACGCUGACACGUAGGUGAAGUGAUUUACUCAUGGAGCUGAAGUCAGUCGAAGAUACCAGCUGGCUGCAACUGUUUAUUAAAAACACAGCACUGUGCAAACACGAAAGUGGACGUAUACGGUGUGACGCCUGCCCGGUGCCGGAAGGUUAAUUGAUGGGGUCAGCGCAAGCGAAGCUCCUGAUCGAAGCCCCGGUAAACGGCGGCCGUAACUAUAACGGUCCUAAGGUAGCGAAAUUCCUUGUCGGGUAAGUUCCGACCUGCACGAAUGGCGUAAUGAUGGCCAGGCUGUCUCCACCCGAGACUCAGUGAAAUUGAACUCGCUGUGAAGAUGCAGUGUACCCGCGGCAAGACGGAAAGACCCCGUGAACCUUUACUAUAGCUUGACACUGAACAUUGAGCCUUGAUGUGUAGGAUAGGUGGGAGGCUUUGAAGUGUGGACGCCAGUCUGCAUGGAGCCGACCUUGAAAUACCACCCUUUAAUGUUUGAUGUUCUAACGUGGACCCGUUACCCGGGUUGCGGACAGUGUCUGGUGGGUAGUUUGACUGGGGCGGUCUCCUCCUAAAGAGUAACGGAGGAGCACGAAGGUUGGCUAAUCCUGGUCGGACAUCAGGAGGUUAGUGCAAUGGCAUAAGCCAGCUUGACUGCGAGCGUGACGGCGCGAGCAGGUGCGAAAGCAGGUCAUAGUGAUCCGGUGGUUCUGAAUGGAAGGGCCAUCGCUCAACGGAUAAAAGGUACUCCGGGGAUAACAGGCUGAUACCGCCCAAGAGUUCAUAUCGACGGCGGUGUUUGGCACCUCGAUGUCGGCUCAUCACAUCCUGGGGCUGAAGUAGGUCCCAAGGGUAUGGCUGUUCGCCAUUUAAAGUGGUACGCGAGCUGGGUUUAGAACGUCGUGAGACAGUUCGGUCCCUAUCUGCCGUGGGCGCUGGAGAACUGAGGGGGGCUGCUCCUAGUACGAGAGGACCGGAGUGGACGCAUCACUGGUGUUCGGGUUGUCAUGCCAAUGGCACUGCCCGGUAGCUAAAUGCGGAAGAGAUAAGUGCUGAAAGCAUCUAAGCACGAAACUUGCCCCGAGAUGAGUUCUCCCUGAGACUUAGAGUCUCCUGAAGGAACGUUGAAGACGACGACGUUGAUAGGCCGGGUGUGUAAGCGCAGCGAUGCGUUGAGCUAACCGGUACUAAUGAACCGUGAGGCUUAACCUUACAACGCCGAAG